This 623-nucleotide ribosomal RNA is filed under the name uncultured Pseudomonadales bacterium. Its description in RNAcentral is "bacterial SSU rRNA". It matches the Rfam family "Bacterial small subunit ribosomal RNA", at positions 28 to 638 of the family's 1533-position model. Lineage: Bacteria; Pseudomonadati; Pseudomonadota; Gammaproteobacteria; Pseudomonadales. The record is from RNAcentral.
AAUGAACGCUGGCGGCAGGCCUAACACAUGCAAGUCGAGCGGAUGAAGGGAGCUUGCUCCUGGAUUCAGCGGCGGACGGGUGAGUAAUGCCUAGGAAUCUGCCUGGUAGUGGGGAUAACGUCCGGAAACGGGCGCUAAUACCGCAUACGUCCUGAGGGAGAAAGUGGGGGAUCUUCGGACCUCACGCUAUCAGAUGAGCCUAGGUCGGAUUAGCUAGUUGGUGGGGUAAAGGCCUACCAAGGCGACGAUCCGUAACUGGUCUGAGAGGAUGAUCAGUCACACUGGAACUGAGACACGGUCCAGACUCCUACGGGAGGCAGCAGUGGGGAAUAUUGGACAAUGGGCGAAAGCCUGAUCCAGCCAUGCCGCGUGUGUGAAGAAGGUCUUCGGAUUGUAAAGCACUUUAAGUUGGGAGGAAGGGCAGUAAGUUAAUACCUUGCUGUUUUGACGUUACCAACAGAAUAAGCACCGGCUAACUUCGUGCCAGCAGCCGCGGUAAUACGACGGGUGCAAGCGUCAAUCGGAAUCCACUGGGCGUAAAGCGCGCGUACGUGGCUUCAGCACAAGCUUGGCAUGUGCAAAUCCCCGGGGCUCAACUGGGCAACUGUAUCCAAAACUACUGA